Molecule: long non-coding RNA, 562 nt
Filed under: Lathyrus oleraceus (garden pea)
Lineage: Eukaryota; Viridiplantae; Streptophyta; Magnoliopsida; Fabales; Fabaceae
Description: Pisum sativum (pea) long non-coding RNA (PSAT_LNC035202)
Source: RNAcentral
AAAAAGGGCAAAAGAAGGAUGAGUAAGUUAGGCUUUAGUAUAAUAAUAUGAUUCGAGUUGAUUUGUGUAUUCAGGAGGUUUAUGUCUGCAUAACUGUGGAUUAGUGUUCUUACAAUAUCCUUAGUGUGCAAGAUUAGUACCUAUCAAUGCAAACUUAACCGAAGAAGACUUGUAGCCUGGAAUGAGUAGCUAUUGAUGUGUGUGUGCUUUCUUUGUUUUAUUUCAAUUUUGCUCGGAGUGCAAAAGUUCAAGUCCGGGGGAAUUUGAUAAGUGCAUAUUUAUGCACAAUUCUCCUACUUUUUACUUAGGCAUUUCUUUAUUUUAUUUUGUUUAUUUUUAUAUUUUAUUAUGUUUUCAUAUUUUAUUUUAUUUUUAGUUUAAUUUAAUUUUCGCACUUAUUUUUCAGCUUUAGCAGUCUGCGCGGAAACGAUCAUAACUGAAGUUCCGGGAAUCCGUUUGAGGCGUUCUAAAAAUCGCCGGAAAGCUAAGAGAGAGAGCUACGACUUUCGUGUUGGAGUCGAAGUCAGAUUCGGAGCUCAAAAUUCCAGAAUUUCGUUUCAAG